UACGAAGGGGGCUAGCGUUGCUCGGAAUCACUGGGCGUAAAGGGUGCGUAGGCGGGUCUUAAGUCAGGGGUGAAAUCCUGGAGCUCAACUCCAGAACUGCCUUUGAUACUGAAGAUCUUGAGUUCGGGAGAGGUGAGUGGAACUGCGAGUGUAGAGGUGAAAUUCGUAGAUAUCGGGAGGAACACCAGUGGCGAAGGCGGCGAUCUGGGAAGAUACUGACGCUGAGGUGCGAAAGCGUGGGGAGCAAACAGG
RNAcentral lists this ribosomal RNA (252 nucleotides) under uncultured bacterium. Its description in RNAcentral is "partial 16S ribosomal RNA". It matches the Rfam family "Bacterial small subunit ribosomal RNA", at positions 524 to 776 of the family's 1533-position model. The record is from RNAcentral.